GACAGAGGAUGCAAGCGUUAUCCGGAAUGAUUGGGCGUAAAGGGCGCGUAGACGGUAAGAAUAGUCAGAUGUGAAAUUUCGGGGCUCAACCCCGAAGCUGCAUUUGAAACUGUCUUUCUAGAGGGUAGGCGGAGAAAACGGAAUUCCACAAGUAGCGGUGAAAUGCGUAGAUAUGUGGAAGAACACCAGUGGCGAAGGCGGUUUUCUAGCUUAUACCUGACGUUGAGGCGCGAAAGCAAGGGGAGCAAACAGG
This 253-nucleotide ribosomal RNA is filed under the name uncultured bacterium. RNAcentral describes it as "partial 16S ribosomal RNA". It matches the Rfam family "Bacterial small subunit ribosomal RNA", at positions 524 to 776 of the family's 1533-position model. The record is from RNAcentral.